RNAcentral lists this ribosomal RNA (484 nucleotides) under uncultured bacterium. RNAcentral describes it as "bacterial SSU rRNA". It matches the Rfam family "Bacterial small subunit ribosomal RNA", at positions 52 to 507 of the family's 1533-position model. The record is from RNAcentral.
CACAUGCAAGUCGAACGAGAAACUCCGGGCUUGCUCGGAGGAGUAAAGUGGCGCACGGGUGAGUAACGCGUGGGUAACCUGCCCCAGAAUCUGGGAUAACAUCGCGAAAGCGUUGCUAAUACCGGAUAUCGUCCUUAAAACUGUGGUUUUUUGGGAUGAAAGAUGACCUCUCCUCGGAAGUUGUCGUUCAGGGAGGGGCCCGCGUACCAUUAGCUUGUUGGUAGGGUAAUGGCCUACCAAGGCUACGAUGGUUAGCUGGUCUGAGAGGAUGAUCAGCCACACUGGAACUGAAACACGGUCCAGACUCCUACGGGAGGCAGCAGUGAGGAAUUUUGCGCAAUGGGGGAAACCCUGACGCAGCAACGCCGUGUGAGUGAAGAAGGCCUUCGGGUCGUAAAGCUCUGUCAAGGGGGAAAAAAUCCUUUCGAUCAAUAGUCAUUAAGGACUGAUGGUACCCCUAGAGGAAGCACCGGCUAACUCCGUG